This 253-nucleotide ribosomal RNA is filed under the name uncultured bacterium. RNAcentral describes it as "partial 16S ribosomal RNA". It matches the Rfam family "Bacterial small subunit ribosomal RNA", at positions 524 to 776 of the family's 1533-position model. The record is from RNAcentral.
UACGAAGGGGGCUAGCGUUGCUCGGAAUCACUGGGCGUAAAGCGCACGUAGGCGGAUUUCUAAGUCAGGGGUGAAAUCCUGGAGCUCAAUUCCAGAACUGCCUUUGAUACUGGGGAUCUCGAGUCCGGAAGAGGUGAGUGGAACUCCGAGUGUAGAGGUGAAAUUCGUAGAUAUUCGGAAGAACACCAGUGGCGAAGGCGGCUCACUGGUCCGGUACUGACGCUGAGGUGCGAAAGCGUGGGGAGCAAACAGG